UGGGCGUUCCGGAUGGUUUCGACAGAAACCUCCACAGUGAGGGUUCGGCCCAUCAGGCGGUUGGCGGUCAGGUUAAGUUCUUCUCUCUCACCUUCACUGAUGUGCCUCAUGUCCUGGCUGUUCUGUAUGUUGUGGAUCAUUUCCAGCAGGGUUUCUUUUUCUUGUUCCAUAGCAGAUGCUGCGUCACGGAAAGCCUCUGAGCUCCAGCUGGUCCAGGUUCUCGAGCAGGCGGCUGGAGCGGUCCGCCAUGGAGGUGGAACGGUAGAAGCGGCCUCGGAGCUGCCCGGCGGACGGCUGCUGCUGCUGCUGCUGCGGCGGCGCGCCCUCGCUCGCCUUGGCGCUGAUCUUAGCCUGGGCCAUAGCACUCGCCCGCUGCCGGCGGCGGCGGCCGCUCCCUCCCCGCGUCCCGCAGGCGGCGGCGGCGGCCGAAUGCCGGCGUCCCGCUCAUGGCCAAAGAAGGAGCCCGCCCGCCGCCUGCCCCCGCGGCACCCCGCCUCCGCGCCCCGCCUCGCGGCGCGGCCCGCCGGGCACCGCGG
RNAcentral lists this long non-coding RNA (536 nucleotides) under Gallus gallus (chicken). Lineage: Eukaryota; Metazoa; Chordata; Aves; Galliformes; Phasianidae. The record is from RNAcentral.